GCCCCUUGGUGCCGUUUCCAUGGAUACGAGCAGGCCUUGCAGUACUGAGCCGAGCCUGCAGCUCCCGCCCUCUGGUUUAUGGCACGGAUGGUGCAAUCUUCUCAGCUCCUGAAAGACAUGAGAAAUACCAAGUCAAAAUAUGUUCAGAACGAGAAAGUGUGAUUCUUGAUGUCAAGAAAGAAAGGUCUAAUUUUCGACACAAGGUAUUAACGACACAUGCUUUAUCUCAGCGCCUAUAAAGUGGAUUCAGGAUUUUUAGAUCUUGGAAUGUGGCAGUUAGUGUCAAUAAAAAGCGGUCUGGUUUCAACACUGAUCCACUCUCAUGCCCGUUGUAUGGAUUUCUGUCUGAUACUUGAUUACUUAAACCUGGAAGCUGCUGGCCUGGAACUUCAAAUGGAGAACUCUUCCAAAGAAAUGCUGCAGGGUGCUGAGAUAACACAAUGUGGAGCUGAAAAAACACAGGAGGCCAGGCAACAUCCAAGAAGGAAAUUUGACGUUUCGAGUUCCCCUACUGCCUCCUCGAUCAUGACCCAACCCCAGAGGACCAAAACAUCAUCUCUCAAACCAUUCACAACCUCAUCACCUCAGGUGACCUCCCUCCCACAGCUUUCAACCCCAGUGAUCCCCAACCCUGCACCACCCGCUUCUAUCUCCUUCCCAACCCUCUGCUGCAUGAUUCUGUUGGGUUUUGCAGCAUUAUUUUGCUCUUAUGUAGAGCCGUGUCUCAUUUACUCAUUACAUCUCCUUGUCUACGUGGUAACAGAGUUUUCAACAUCUAAGCCAUACACUUCUAGGUCUUGAAUGUUUAAUUUAGGCUGAAAUCUCAGUGCAUUAAUAAGGGAGUACUACAUUGUCAACUGUGCGUGGCUACGGAUGAGACAUUUAAAAAGCUGCUUGCUGAGAUGCUUAUUAUAAGAUUAUGUUGAAAUACGCAAAUAAGAGCAAAGAAUUUUCCCAGUGUUUGGCUCAAUGUUUGCCUGUGACGCCAACGUAAGACAGAUCAUCUGGUCUGCUACUUCAUUGCCUCUUAGGACCUUGCUAUUUAUAAAUUUUUGCCUACACAACAGUGACUAUUUUAUUGACUGUGAAGUGUCUUGAAAUUCCUCAAGGGCACUAUAGUUACAAGUUUUGUCUUGAUAUAUUUUCUGAUGUUAUAGAUUGUAUAAACAUGAAAGUGAUUGGUGAGGUUAGUGCUGAUUCAUAGCUUUUUCAAAGCUUUCCUAGCCUACAAGCUAAUUGCCAUUGUGAAGAUACUCAAGUUUUGAAAUGAUGUAUGGUUGAGUUAUCAAGCAUUGUUUGCUUUCAUUGAGAGGUAAAAUUUUUCUUUGUGGUAAUUAUUUUAUGUAUGCUGAGAGACAAUUGCAUUGCUAAUUUUAGGAGAAAAUAAAACAUAGGAACUGAAACUCAACUUCUGCAGCGCUAAAAUUCUUCUAGGUGACACAUUGUGAAGCAAGUUAUCAAUCCUGCAGAGGGAGUUCUUGAGUUCUUUUUAAUGUGCAUUGAUCGUAUA
Stegostoma tigrinum is the source of this 1510-nucleotide long non-coding RNA. RefSeq lists it as uncharacterized. The transcript is spliced from 4 exons. The record is from RefSeq and is a predicted model, not a curated record. Lineage: Eukaryota; Metazoa; Chordata; Chondrichthyes; Orectolobiformes; Stegostomatidae.